CUACGGGUGGUUGCAGUGGGGAAUCUUAGACAAUGGGGGAAACCCUGAUCUAGCCAUGCCGCGUGAGCGACGACGGCCCUAGGGUUGUAAAGCUCUUUCAGCAGGGAAGAUAAUGACGGUACCUGCAGAAGAAGUCCCGGCUAACUCCGUGCCAGCAGCCGCGGUAAUACGGAGGGGACUAGCGUUGUUCGGAAUUACUGGGCGUAAAGCGCGCGUAGGCGGAUUGUUAAGUCGGGGGUGAAAUCCCGGGGCUCAACCCCGGAACUGCCCUCGAUACUGGCAGUCUUGAGUUCGAGAGAGGUGAGUGGAAUUCCGAGUGUAGAGGUGAAAUUCGUAGAUAUUCGGAGGAACACCAGUGGCGAAGGCGGCUCACUGGCUCGAUACUGACGCUGAGGUGCGAAAGCGUGGGGAGCAAACAGGAUUAGAUACCCCUGUAGUC
RNAcentral lists this ribosomal RNA (439 nucleotides) under uncultured bacterium. RNAcentral describes it as "partial 16S ribosomal RNA". It matches the Rfam family "Bacterial small subunit ribosomal RNA", at positions 339 to 795 of the family's 1533-position model. The record is from RNAcentral.